Molecule: ribosomal RNA, 253 nt
Filed under: uncultured bacterium
Lineage: Bacteria
Description: partial 16S ribosomal RNA
Rfam family: Bacterial small subunit ribosomal RNA
Source: RNAcentral
UACGUAGGAUGCGAGCGUUGUCCGGAAUUACUGGGCGUAAAGCGCGCGUAGGCGGUUUCUUGCGUGGGUUGUGAAAGCUCUCGGCUUACCUGAGAGAGGGCAGUCCAAACGGGGAGACUAGAGGGCGGUAGGGGCUGGCGGAAUGCCUGGAGUAGCGGUGAAAUGCGUUGAGAUCAGGCAGAACACCAGUGGCGAAGGCGGCCAGCUGGGCCGUACCUGACGCUGAGGCGCGAAAGCUAGGGGAGCGAACGGA